RNAcentral lists this ribosomal RNA (468 nucleotides) under uncultured bacterium. RNAcentral describes it as "partial 16S ribosomal RNA". It matches the Rfam family "Bacterial small subunit ribosomal RNA", at positions 28 to 507 of the family's 1533-position model. The record is from RNAcentral.
GACGAACGCUGGCGGCGUGCUUAACACAUGCAAGUCGAACGGAAAGGCCCUGCUUUUGUGGGGUGCUCGAGUGGCGAACGGGUGAGUAACACGUGAGUAACCUGCCCUUGACUUUGGGAUAACUUCAGGAAACUGGGGCUGAUACCGGAUAGGAGCUCCUGCUGCAUGGUGGGGGUUGGAAAGUUUCGGCGGUUGGGGAUGGACUCGCGGCUUAUCAGCUUGUUGGUGGGGUAGUGGCUUACCAAGGCUUUGACGGGUAGCCGGCCUGAGAGGGUGACCGGCCACAUUGGGACUGAGAUACGGCCCAGACUCCUACGGGAGGCAGCAGUGGGGAAUAAUGCACAAUGGGCGGAAGCCUGAUGCAGCAACGCCGCGUGCGGGAUGACGGCCUUCGGGUUGUAAACCGCUUUCGCCUGUGACGAAGCGUGAGUGACGGUAAUGGGUAAAGAAGCACCGGCUAACUACGUG